RNAcentral lists this ribosomal RNA (459 nucleotides) under uncultured bacterium. RNAcentral describes it as "partial 16S ribosomal RNA". It matches the Rfam family "Bacterial small subunit ribosomal RNA", at positions 338 to 795 of the family's 1533-position model. The record is from RNAcentral.
CCUACGGGAGGCAGCAGUGAGGAAUAUUGGUCAAUGGACGAGAGUCUGAACCAGCCAAGUAGCGUGAAGGAUGACUGUCCUACGGGUUGUAAACUUCUUUUAUAUGGGAACAAAACGAUCCACGUGUGGGACUUUGUAUGUACCAUAAGAAAAAGGAUCGGCUAACUCCGUGCCAGCAGCCGCGGUAAUACGGAGGAUCCGAGCGUUAUCCGGAUUUAUUGGGUUUAAAGGGGGCGCAGGCGGAUGGGUAAGUCAGAGGUAAAAUUUUGGGGCUAAACCCAGUAAUGCAGUUGAAAAUGCAUGUUUUGAGUGCGCGAGAAGUAGGCGGAAUGCGUGGUGUAGCGGUGAAAUGCAUAGAUAUCACGAAGAACUCCGAUUGCGAAGGCAGCAUACAGGCGUGCAACUGACGUUCAUGCACGAAAGUGUGGGUAUCGAACAGGAUUAGAUACCCUUGUAGUC